Molecule: ribosomal RNA, 405 nt
Filed under: uncultured bacterium
Lineage: Bacteria
Description: partial 16S ribosomal RNA
Rfam family: Bacterial small subunit ribosomal RNA
Source: RNAcentral
AUUGAACGCUGGCGGCAGGCCUAACACAUGCAAGUCGAACGAGAGGCGGACGGGUGAGUAAUGAAUGGGCAUCGGGCUGAGGGAGGGGGAUAAGGACGGGAAACUGACGCUGAUACCGUGUACAAUAGCCUAGGCCCAAGUGGGAUUAGGGAGUUGGGGGGGUAAUGGCCGACCAAGCCGACGAUCUGUAGCUGGUCUGAGAGGAUGACCAGCCACACCGGAACUGAGACACGGCCCAGACUCCUACGGGAGGCAGCAGUGGGGAAUAUUGGGCAAUGGGCGCAACCUGACGCAGCCAUGCCGCGUGAAUGAAGAAGGUCUUCGGGUUGUAAAGUUCUUUAGGUGACGAGGCGUUACCCACAGAAGAAGCACCGGCUAACUCCGUGCCAGCAGCCGCGGUAAUAC